UAAUAAGUUGGCAGAAUAGUGCCACAGGGUUUAAACNCGNUUUAUGGAUAACCUAUCCACUUAUUA
Molecule: transfer RNA, 66 nt
Filed under: Aporrectodea georgii
Lineage: Eukaryota; Metazoa; Annelida; Clitellata; Crassiclitellata; Lumbricidae
Description: tRNA-Leu
Source: RNAcentral